UACAGAGGGUGCAAGCGUUAAUCGGAAUUACUGGGCGUAAAGCGUGCGUAGACGGUUACAUAAGUCGGGUGUGAAAGCCCCGGGCUCAACCUGGGAAUUGCAUUCGAGACUGCGUAGCUAGGGUGCGGAAGAGGGAAGCGGAAUUUCCGGUGUAGCGGUGAAAUGCGUAGAUAUCAGGAGGAACACCUGCGGUGUAGACGGCUUACUGGACCAUAACUGACGCUGAGGCACGAAAGCGUGGGUAGCAAACAGG
Molecule: ribosomal RNA, 253 nt
Filed under: uncultured bacterium
Lineage: Bacteria
Description: partial 16S ribosomal RNA
Rfam family: Bacterial small subunit ribosomal RNA
Source: RNAcentral